RNAcentral lists this ribosomal RNA (253 nucleotides) under uncultured bacterium. RNAcentral's name for it is "partial 16S ribosomal RNA". It matches the Rfam family "Bacterial small subunit ribosomal RNA", at positions 524 to 776 of the family's 1533-position model. The record is from RNAcentral.
UACAGAGGGGGCAAGCGUUAUUCGGAAUUAUUGGGCGUAAAGGGCGCGUAGGCGGCCCUUCAAGUGGUAGGUGAAAUCCCUCGGCUCAACCGAGGAUCUGCCCGCCAAACUGAAGAGCUUGAGUCCGGGAGAGGUGAGUGGAAUUCCCAGUGUAGCGGUGAAAUGCGUAGAUAUUGGGAGGAACACCAGUGGCGAAGGCGGCUCACUGGACCGGAACUGACGCUGAGGCGCGAAAGCGUGGGGAGCAAACGGG